GUCUAUGGUCAUACCACCCUGAACUUGCCUGAUCUAAUCUGAUCUCUGAAGCUAAGCAGGAUUGGCUCUGGUUAAUACUUGCAUGGGAGACUGCUUGGGAAUACCAGGUGCUGUAGGCU
Ochotona princeps (American pika) is the source of this 119-nucleotide ribosomal RNA. Lineage: Eukaryota; Metazoa; Chordata; Mammalia; Lagomorpha; Ochotonidae. The record is from Ensembl.